CGGUAACGCGGAGAGCUUGCUCUCUGGCGACGAGUGGCGGACGGGUGAGUAAUACUUAGGAAUCUGCCCAGUAGUGGGGGACAACUCGGGGAAACUCGAGCUAAUACCGCAUACGCCCUACGGGGGAAAGCGGGGGAUCUUCGGACCUGGCGUUAAUGGAGCGGCCGAUAGCUGAUUAGGUAGUUGGUGGGGUAAAGGCCUACCAAGCCUGCGAUCAGUAGCUGGUCUGAGAGGACGACCAGCCACACUGGGACUGAGACACGGCCCAGACUCCUACGGGAGGCAGCAGUGGGGAAUUUUGGACAAUGGGGGAAACCCUGAUCCAGCCAUUCCGCGUGAGUGAAGAAGGCCUUCGGGUUGUAAAGCUCUUUCGCAAGGGAAGAAAACUUACCCUCUAACAUAGGGUGAGGAUGACGGUACCUUGACAAGAAGCACCGGCUAACUACGUGCCAGCAGCCGCGGUAAUACGUAGGGUGCGAGCGUUAAUCGGAAUUACUGGGCGUAAAGCGUGCGCAGGCGGCCUUAAAAGUCAGAUGUGAAAUCCCCGAGCUCAACUUGGGAACUGCGUUUGAAACUCUAAGGCUAGAAUAUGUCAGAGGGGGGUAGAAUU
This 610-nucleotide ribosomal RNA is filed under the name uncultured bacterium. Its description in RNAcentral is "bacterial SSU rRNA". It matches the Rfam family "Bacterial small subunit ribosomal RNA", at positions 67 to 668 of the family's 1533-position model. The record is from RNAcentral.